AUGCAAGUCGAGCGAGAAAGGUUUUCGGACUGAGUACAGCGGCGGACGGGUGAGUAACGCGUAGGAAUCUACCCAGUAGUGGGGGACAACUUAGGGAAACUUAAGCUAAUACCGCAUACGCCCUAAGGGGGAAAGCGGGGGAUCUUCGGACCUCGCGCUAUUGGAAGAGCUUGCGUUAGAUUAGCUAGUUGGUGGGGUAAAGGCUCACCAAGGCGACGAUCUAUAGCUGGUCUGAGAGGAUGAUCAGCCACACUGGGACUGAGACACGGCCCAGACUCC
RNAcentral lists this ribosomal RNA (279 nucleotides) under unidentified marine bacterioplankton. RNAcentral's name for it is "partial 16S ribosomal RNA". It matches the Rfam family "Bacterial small subunit ribosomal RNA", at positions 55 to 339 of the family's 1533-position model. The record is from RNAcentral. RNAcentral also lists the same sequence under 1 other name.